RNAcentral lists this ribosomal RNA (1197 nucleotides) under Triticum aestivum (bread wheat). RNAcentral describes it as "partial small subunit ribosomal RNA". Lineage: Eukaryota; Viridiplantae; Streptophyta; Magnoliopsida; Poales; Poaceae. The record is from RNAcentral.
AUGGAAGCUAUUGCGGACUACAACUGCGGUAUAUCUUAUAUCCCUGGUAAGGCUAAUGUAAUGGCUGAUGCCCUGAGCCGCAAGUCUUAUUGCAAUAAUCACAUGGUCUACAAAGCUCAACCCCGCCUUUAUGAAGAGCUAUGCAAGCUAAACCUUCAAGUAGUUCCACAGGGUUCUCUGAAUAACCUUGUACUGGAACCAACUCUUCUAAAAUCAAUUAAGUCUGCUCAAGCCAAAGAUGCUCACGUUGAUUUGAUGAAAAAGGAUCUUGCCUUAGAGAAAUCCAGAGAUUUCUCACUUGGUGAAGAUGGAACCUUAUACUUCAGAGAUCACAUUGUAGUACCCCGGUUCGAGCUUAUGACAAAGAAGGUGAUGAAAGAAGAGCCUGACACCCCUCUCUCUAUUCAUCUGGGAAGUACCAAGAUGUAUCUAGACAUCCGUCAGAAGUACUGGUGGUCUAAAAUGAAGCAAGACAUUGCUCGAUAUAUCGAAGAAUGUGAUGUUUGCCGUCGCAUCAAAGCAGAACAUCAGAAACCGGCUGGACUUCUACAACCACUUCUGAUUCCGGAAUGGAAGUGGGAUAAGAUUCAAAUGGACUUCGUCACUGGACUUCCCAAGUCUCAUAAAGGUAACGAUGCUAUCUUUGUUGUCAUUGACCAAUUCUCGAAAGUUGCUCACUUUCUACCAGUCAAGGAGACAAUCACUGCUAGUCAAUUAGCAAACUUGUAUAUCUCCAGAAUUGUGUCACUCCAUGGAAUUCCGAAGGAGAUCAGUUCAGACCGUGGCAGUUUAUUCACUUCAAAGUUCUGGGAUAGUUUCCAAGAGGCAAUGGGAACUCAUAUUACCUGGAGCACUGCUUAUCAUCCCCAAUCCCAAGGCCAAGUCGAGCGAGUCAAUCAAAUUCUUGAAGACAUGCUUCGAGCUUGUGUUAUUUCUUUUGGCAAGAAGUGGGAAGAAUCUCUCCCUUAUGCGGAAUUCUCUUAUAACAACAGCUAUCAAGCCAGCUUGAAGAUGGCACCCUUCGAAGUGCUCUAUGGACGUAAGUGCCGAACCCCUCUGAAUUGGUCAGAAACUGGGGAACGGGCACUCAUUGGUCCAGACAUUAUUCAACAAGCUGAAGAGCAAGUUCGCAUUGUCCGGGAUAAUCUCAAGGCGGCCCAGUCCCGCCAGAAGAGCAACUAUGACCGGAAACACUAG